Small nuclear RNA from Pseudopipra pipra, 115 nucleotides. RefSeq annotates it as U5 spliceosomal RNA. The record is from RefSeq and is a predicted model, not a curated record. NCBI's taxonomy places the organism in Eukaryota, Metazoa, Chordata, Aves, Passeriformes, Pipridae. The transcript has a single exon.
AACUUCAGGUUUUUCUUCAUAUCGUAUAAAUCUUUCGCCUUUUACUAAAGAUUUCCGUGGAGAGGAACAAGCACGAGUGUAAUGUAAUUUUUUGAGGCUUCACAGGGGUGAAGCU